GUCCAGGGAUGAGAAACAAACCCACAAUGUUCCGCUUACCGGGCAGAUUCCAUGUCCACUAGGCUACCCUGGA
Molecule: transfer RNA, 73 nt
Filed under: Cordylochernes scorpioides
Lineage: Eukaryota; Metazoa; Arthropoda; Arachnida; Pseudoscorpiones; Chernetidae
Description: tRNA-Thr
Source: RNAcentral